CACGUUACAGAUUGGGGUUUCC
This 22-nucleotide microRNA is filed under the name Aedes aegypti (yellow fever mosquito). Its description in RNAcentral is "aae-miR-1889-3p". Lineage: Eukaryota; Metazoa; Arthropoda; Insecta; Diptera; Culicidae. RNAcentral also lists the same sequence under 1 other name. The record is from miRBase by way of RNAcentral.